Molecule: ribosomal RNA, 89 nt
Filed under: Paramormyrops kingsleyae
Lineage: Eukaryota; Metazoa; Chordata; Actinopteri; Osteoglossiformes; Mormyridae
Source: RNAcentral
UCAGACUAAAUAAUCCAUCUGAAGCAAAGCAGGUUUGGGCCUGACCAGUACAUGGGUGGGAGACCAACUAGAAAAGCUGGGUUGCUGCU